Molecule: ribosomal RNA, 774 nt
Filed under: uncultured bacterium
Lineage: Bacteria
Description: bacterial SSU rRNA
Rfam family: Bacterial small subunit ribosomal RNA
Source: RNAcentral
AAUUCGAUUAGAGUUUGAUCCUGGCUCAGAUUGAACGCUGGCGGCAUGCCUUACACAUGCAAGUCGAACGGUAACAGGUCUUCGGAUGCUGACGAGUGGCGAACGGGUGAGUAAUACAUCGGAACGUGCCCGAUCGUGGGGGAUAACGAAGCGAAAGCUUUGCUAAUACCGCAUAAGAUCUACGGAUGAAAGCAGGGGACCGCAAGGCCUUGCGCGAACGGAGCGGCCGAUGGCAGAUUAGGUAGUUGGUGGGAUAAAAGCUUACCAAGCCGACGAUCUGUAGCUGGUCUGAGAGGACGACCAGCCACACUGGGACUGAGACACGGCCCAGACUCCUACGGGAGGCAGCAGUGGGGAAUUUUGGACAAUGGGCGAAAGCCUGAUCCAGCCAUGCCGCGUGCAGGAUGAAGGCCUUCGGGUUGUAAACUGCUUUUGUACGGAACGAAAAGACUCUGGUUAAUACCUGGGGUCCAUGACGGUACCGUAAGAAUAAGCACCGGCUAACUACGUGCCAGCAGCCGCGGUAAUACGUAGGGUGCAAGCGUUAAUCGGAAUUACUGGGCGUAAAGCGUGCGCAGGCGGUUAUAUAAGACAGAUGUGAAAUCCCUGGGCUCAACCUGGGAACUGCAUUUGUGACUGUAUAGCUAGAGUACGGCAGAGGGGGAUGGAAUUCCGCGUGUAGCAGUGAAAUGCGUAGAUAUGCGGAGGAACACCGAUGGCGAAAGGCAAUCCCCUGGGCCUGUACUGACGCUCAUGCACGAAAGCGUGGGGAGC